This 344-nucleotide ribosomal RNA is filed under the name uncultured Bacteroidota bacterium. Its description in RNAcentral is "bacterial SSU rRNA". It matches the Rfam family "Bacterial small subunit ribosomal RNA", at positions 337 to 678 of the family's 1533-position model. Lineage: Bacteria; Pseudomonadati; Bacteroidota. The record is from RNAcentral.
UCCUACGGGAGGCAGCAGUGAGGAAUAUUGGUCAAUGGACGCAAGUCUGAACCAGCCAUGCCGCGUGCAGGAUGACGGUCCUAUGGAUUGUAAACUGCUUUUGUACAGGAAGAAACAGUUCUACGUGUAGAACCUUGACGGUACUGUAAGAAUAAGGAUCGGCUAACUCCGUGCCAGCAGCCGCGGUAAUACGGAGGAUCCAAGCGUUAUCCGGAAUCAUUGGGUUUAAAGGGUCCGUAGGCGGUUUAGUAAGUCAGUGGUGAAAGCCCAUCGCUCAACGGUGGAACGGCCAUUGAUACUGCUAAACUUGAAUUAUUAGGAAGUAACUAGAAUAUGUAGUGUAG